AUGAAGCCGAAUUACUUAACUUUCUAUUUUGUUUCUAAUUCUAUAAGGAACCUGACAGCUUUUUGUUGUUGUUGCUGUUAUUGUUGCUGCUUAGUUGAAAAUUCAUUAUUUACUUUGUUUUGUAGAUUAAAACUUCUUGGAGUCAAAACCAAAAGGCUUUCAGUAGUUUCAUUAAACGUGGAUUGUCUCCUGAGCAGAAAUCACGUACUGAGCAAAAAUCCAUUAUGAAAAUGCCAUACUUUGGUUUCAUUCCAGAAUGACUUACUCCUGGGGUAUUCAAAAAAGCAUCAGUGGUUCUUUCAUCCUAUAUAAGAGGUAAUGGACUCUGUGUGCAUAUUUCCGGCUUAUAUUUGCUAGUAAUUCUUCUGUUCAAGUUUAAUCAUCAGCUAUCUUUUUUUUUAUGUUCUAUAUAGCUACAAAUAGCUACAUUCAUUUAAGUCAUCUUGGUGAAGUGCUUGCAGUUUGAAUUAAAAUGAGCUAAGUGUACGCAAAUAUGACACUAAAGGUUAUUCAUUUUAUGAAAAGUCACACUACAGUAGUAAGUGGUUGUACAUGGAAAUUAUCUUAACAGCGUAAAGAUUUCAACCAUAAAUGAACUGAUGUAAUUCACAGUGAAUUUCACCUUCUCUGCUGAUGUCAACUACCUGUUCUAGAAGAGAUAAUGGAACUGUCAAACAUAUUUAAACUGUUCAGACACCACACUACAAAGCUGCUGUAAAAUGCCUAUGGUAUCUUAUGCCAUUUUCUGAAACGUUAUUUAGUGUCUCAUAGCUUUGAUAUCUCAAAGAAUGGUAUAUUCACCUAGUUAUUUUAGGAGUUCAUGGUCAAGAUGUAACAGGUACGAAGCUUGCCUAAAGUUCUUAGUAAAUCAUAAUUUCAAGUAGCAAUUGAGUCAAUCUCUGUUCCUCAACUCUUGUCUUAAGGAAGAAGAAAGUUCUUCAUCUUUUAUAUGGAUGUGUGUAUAUAUAUUUAUCUAUACACACACACAUAGAUAUGUAUAUAAGACAAACCUGACAAAUUUUUGAUUCUGUAGUGAACGGGAAGGUACAUGUACUGCAAGACCAACUAUUUACAUUACUUUUUAUUUUUCUCUAAGCACUUUUAGUUUACACUUCAGAAUACAAAACAGAGCUGAGAAGAGAUAUUAAAGCAGUUGAUAUUUUAUUUCUGUUCCUACUCAACACCUAGUGGUAAAAGCAACCCUUUAGACUCCUAAGCUGCCUAUUCUUUUUUUUUUUUUUUUUUUUAAUGCUUAUUUUUUAAUUUGGAGAUAUAACAGCCUGAUAAAAUAAAAGACUGGGAAGUGUUAAGCA
RNAcentral lists this long non-coding RNA (1313 nucleotides) under Chrysolophus pictus (golden pheasant). RNAcentral's name for it is "lncRNA (ENSCPIG00010003734.1)". The record is from RNAcentral. Lineage: Eukaryota; Metazoa; Chordata; Aves; Galliformes; Phasianidae.